Branchiostoma floridae (Florida lancelet) is the source of this 1761-nucleotide RNA transcript. It is a transcript of the gene named allatostatin-A receptor-like, with no coding region annotated. The transcript is spliced from 5 exons. The record is from RefSeq and is a predicted model, not a curated record. NCBI's taxonomy places the organism in Eukaryota, Metazoa, Chordata, Leptocardii, Amphioxiformes, Branchiostomatidae.
ACGUGCAAAACACGGUGUCCGCACCGGUUUUGUCGCACACUGCCACUGUUGUUUGCCUUCGGAAAUACCCUGCAUUAAAUAGCUAAGUUCACAUCGAUUAAACACAAGUAAUGGCACGCUUUCAGCUGUUCCACAUAACAACGGGAAAAGCUCUGAGUGAGGUGAUUAUCUCUGCCAUGUUUGCUUCCAGUAUACAUUAUCAGCUUAGCCCAUCAUAAUUCUAACAACCUAGGCAUUUACAGGCCCAAUACAGCGGUUCUUUUGUGAUAUUACACGAGAAAGGCCAGGGCAUAAAAACCAAGGGGCACUUCUUGACAGGUUUCUGUCCGUCGCGGGCGCGAGACGGACUGAACCAUGGCGUUUUGGCCUUGUGGAAAAAUUAACGCUUCCACCCCGCUGGACUAUACCAUACUGCCUAUCAAUGAGACCCUGGGAUAUAUAGUGCAAUUUUUAGCUCCACAGCUGAAUCAGGAAAAGAGCCUUCGUGCGAAGGACGUGGCGCUGCCGAUAUUCUGGGGUUUGAUCGUCCUCCUCGGCGUGGUGGGAAAUCUCUUGGUCAUCAUCGUCAUCCUAAAGGGCCGUCAGCUUCGCAGUACAACAAACGCCUUCAUCUUAAACCUCAGUAUCUCGGACUUUCUCUUCAUCGUCUGCACCGUUCCGUUCACUCUCGUCAUACAGUUAGACCAGACCUGGAUAUUCGGGGACGUGUGGUGCAAGGUGAUGCACUACAGUACGUACGUCAGCUGUCUGCUCAGUAUCUACACCAUGGUCGUCAUGUCCAUAGACAGGUACCUGGCCAUAGUCUACCCGCUGUCGUCAGUGCGUUACCGACGCGUCAGGUACGCGGGGAUGGUGGUGGGAGCGAUGUGGCCCAUCAUGCUCGUCUCUAUGAUCCCGGUACUGCUCAGUGCCAAAGUUGAGGGAACAGACGCUUGCGAUCUGUGGUACUUCGUCAUCCCGGCCAGUAAGAACUGCCUGCUCUUCAACUCCGACGAGUUCGUCAUCGUGUUCUUCGCGGUGGCCUACGCCCUGCCGCUGUUCGCCAUCGUCGUGAUGUACGCCCUGAUGCUGAAGCGGGUGUGGACGCGCGUCGGGCUCGGCGUCAUGAACGACACCAGCCGCAACAAGUCCAAGAGGAAGGUCACCAGGAUGAUCGUGGUCAUAGUGGCGGUGUUCGGGCUGUGCUGGCUGCCACUUCAGGUGUAUCUGUUGGCGCAGAUGGUUGACAGAACCGUAGGUGCCCAGGAGUGGCAGCGGUACAUCCUGUACACGGCUAACGCGCUAGCAUACUCCAACUCCAGCGUCAACCCGCUCAUCUAUGCCUUCUUCUCCGUACAGUUCCGCAGGUCCUUCAUGCAGGUGUUCCCCUGUUGUUUCCGAAGCCGAACGAACAAAGUUACCCCCCGACCUUUAGCGAGAGUUCCCGAGCGACACUCGGGUGCCGAAAACCCCGACAACAGUGGGACACACGUCACAGACCUAGACACAGAAGUUUGAAUGAACACUGAUAUAACAUAUGCACAUUUCAUACUUCUGAAGCGCACGCGAAGAAACAUUUUGUGAACCGUGACUGUGGUUGAUUGCGCUAAAACGCUCUAGACGCUAGCACCUGCACAGCAUAGUCUUGUGUGUUCUCGUGUUGCUCGGGCAAACCCACCUUUCAACAUAACGUCAUCGACUUCGGUGAAGGUACGGUGGCCGGAGGGGCCACAAGACACAGUGUGCUGAAAAGAGGGUCUUCGUUGGACACACCGGUGUGAG